Molecule: ribosomal RNA, 477 nt
Filed under: uncultured Pseudoalteromonas sp.
Lineage: Bacteria; Pseudomonadati; Pseudomonadota; Gammaproteobacteria; Alteromonadales; Pseudoalteromonadaceae
Description: bacterial SSU rRNA
Rfam family: Bacterial small subunit ribosomal RNA
Source: RNAcentral
GGCGGACGGGUGAGUAAUGCUUGGGAAUAUGCCUUUUGGUGGGGGACAACAGUUGGAAACGACUGCUAAUACCGCAUGAUGUCUACGGACCAAAGUGGGGGACCUUCGGGCCUCACGCCAAGAGAUUAGCCCAAGUGGGAUUAGCUAGUUGGUAAGGUAAUGGCUUACCAAGGCGACGAUCCCUAGCUGGUUUGAGAGGAUGAUCAGCCACACUGGGACUGAGACACGGCCCAGACUCCUACGGGAGGCAGCAGUGGGGAAUAUUGCACAAUGGGCGCAAGCCUGAUGCAGCCAUGCCGCGUGUGUGAAGAAGGCCUUCGGGUUGUAAAGCACUUUCAGUAAGGAGGAAAGGUUAAGUUUUAAUAGAGCUUAGCUGUGACGUUACUUACAGAAGAAGCACCGGCUAACUCCGUGCCAGCAGCCGCGGUAAUACGGAGGGUGCGAGCGUUAAUCGGAAUUACUGGGCGUAAAGCGUAC